This 465-nucleotide ribosomal RNA is filed under the name Vreelandella stevensii. RNAcentral describes it as "partial 16S ribosomal RNA". It matches the Rfam family "Bacterial small subunit ribosomal RNA", at positions 338 to 795 of the family's 1533-position model. Lineage: Bacteria; Pseudomonadati; Pseudomonadota; Gammaproteobacteria; Oceanospirillales; Halomonadaceae. The record is from RNAcentral.
CCUACAGGGGGCAGCAGUGGGGAAUAUUGGACAAUGGGGGGAACCCUGAUCCAGCCAUGCCGCGUGUGUGAAGAAGGCCCUCGGGUUGUAAAGCACUUUCAGUGAGGAAGAACGCCUGGUGGUUAAUACCCAUCAGGAAAGACAUCACUCACAGAAGAAGCACCGGCUAACUCCGUGCCAGCAGCCGCGGUAAUACGGAGGGUGCGAGCGUUAAUCGGAAUUACUGGGCGUAAAGCGCGCGUAGGUGGCUUGAUAAGCCGGUUGUGAAAGCCCCGGGCUCAACCUGGGAACGGCAUCCGGAACUGUCAAGCUAGAGUGCAGGAGAGGAAGGUAGAAUUCCCGGUGUAGCGGUGAAAUGCGUAGAGAUCGGGAGGAAUACCAGUGGCGAAGGCGGCCUUCUGGACUGACACUGACACUGAGGUGCGAAAGCGUGGGUAGCAAACAGGAUUAGAUACCCCGGUAGUC